This 429-nucleotide ribosomal RNA is filed under the name Pseudomonadota bacterium. RNAcentral's name for it is "Proteobacteria bacterium partial 16S ribosomal RNA". It matches the Rfam family "Bacterial small subunit ribosomal RNA", at positions 355 to 776 of the family's 1533-position model. The record is from RNAcentral. Lineage: Bacteria; Pseudomonadati; Pseudomonadota.
UGGGGAAUAUUGGACAAUGGGCGAAAGCCUGAUCCAGCCAUGCCGCGUGUGUGAAGAAGGUCUUCGGAUUGUAAAGCACUUUAAGUUGGGAGGAAGGGCAGUAAGCGAAUACCUUGCUGUUUUGACGUUACCGACAGAAUAAGCACCGGCUAACUCUGUGCCAGCAGCCGCGGUAAUACAGAGGGUGCAAGCGUUAAUCGGAAUUACUGGGCGUAAAGCGCGCGUAGGUGGUUCAUUAAGUUGAAUGUGAAAGCCCCGGGCUCAACCUGGGAACUGCAUCCAAAACUGGCGAGCUAGAGUAGGGCAGAGGGUGGUGGAAUUUCCUGUGUAGCGGUGAAAUGCGUAGACAUAGGAAGGAACACCAGUGGCGAAGGCGACCACCUGGGCUCAUACUGACACUGAGGUGCGAAAGCGUGGGGAGCAAACAGG